CCUUCCGGUUAAGGGUGCCUGCGGAAGGAUCAUUACAGUAUUCUUUUUGCCAGCGCUUAAUUGCGCGGCGAAAAAACCUUACACACAGUGUUUUUUGUUAUUACAAGAACUCUUGCUUUGGUCUGGACUAGAAAUAGUUUGGGCCAGAGGUUUACUAAACUAAACUUCAAUAUUUAUAUUGAAUUGUUAUUUAUUUUAAUUGUCAAUUUGUUGAUUAAAUUCAAAAAAUCUUCAAAACUUUCAACAACGGAUCUCUUGGUUCUCGCAUCGAUGAAGAACGGGGCGAAAUGCGAUAAGUAAUAUGAAAUGCAGAAUUUUGUGAAUCAUUGAAUCUUUGAACGCCCAUUGAACCUUUUGAUAUUCCAAAGGGGAUGAAUGUUUGAGCGUCAUUUCUCUCUCAAACCUUCGGGUUUGGUAUUGAGUGAUACUCUUAGUCGAACUAGGCGUUUGCUUGAAAUGUAUUGGCAUGAGUGGUACUGGAUAGUGCUAUAUGACUUUCAAUGUAUUAGGUUUAUCCAACUCGUUGAAUAGUUUAAUGGUAUAUUUCUCGGUAUUCUAGGCUCGGCCUUACAAUAUAACAAACAAGUUUGACCUCAAAUCAGGUAGGACUACCCGCUGAACUUAAGCAUAUCAAAA
This 636-nucleotide ribosomal RNA is filed under the name Debaryomyces hansenii. Its description in RNAcentral is "eukaryotic LSU rRNA". The stretch from base 236 to 389 matches the Rfam family "5.8S ribosomal RNA". Lineage: Eukaryota; Fungi; Ascomycota; Pichiomycetes; Serinales; Debaryomycetaceae. The record is from RNAcentral.